GUGCUUGCUUCGACAGCACAUGUACUAAAACUGGAGCAAUACAGAGAAGAUUAUCAGGGUCCCUGUGCCAGGAUGACAUGCAAAUUUAUGAAGCAUUACAUAUAUUU
This 107-nucleotide small nuclear RNA is filed under the name Moschus moschiferus (Siberian musk deer). The record is from RNAcentral. Lineage: Eukaryota; Metazoa; Chordata; Mammalia; Artiodactyla; Moschidae.